GUGCCAGCCGCCGCGGUAACACCGGCGCCUCGAGUGGGGAUCGCGAUUAUUGGGCCUAAAGCGUCCGUAGCAGGCCAUGUAAAUCCUUUGUGAAAUGGGCAGGCCUAACCUGUCCGCGUGCAGAGGACACUGCAAGGCUUGAGACCGGGAGAGGUCAGAAGUAUUCCUUGGGUACCGGUAAAAUGGGUUAAUCCAAGGAGGACUACCAAUGGCGAAGGCAUCUGACCAGAACGGUUCUGACUGUGAGGGACGAAAGCUAGGGGAGCAAAACGGAUUAGAUACCCGCGUAGUCC
Molecule: ribosomal RNA, 293 nt
Filed under: uncultured bacterium
Lineage: Bacteria
Description: partial 16S ribosomal RNA
Rfam family: Archaeal small subunit ribosomal RNA
Source: RNAcentral